Long non-coding RNA from Pan troglodytes (chimpanzee), 6163 nucleotides. RefSeq lists it as uncharacterized. The record is from RefSeq and is a predicted model, not a curated record. The transcript is spliced from 3 exons. Lineage: Eukaryota; Metazoa; Chordata; Mammalia; Primates; Hominidae.
GGACCAUGGUAGAGCUAAAAUACUGGUCAACAGAGCAUGGAGGAGGGGGAUGAGUUAAGAAGUCAGACACUGUGAGAUCUCUUUCUCCUUGGUAGGCAUGAGUAGCCCAUGGCUUUACACUCUUCCAUGGUGGCUCACUGGGAAAUGGUGAGACUGGGAUGGGCAAUUGGUGUCCUUGCCUGAAUCCCAUCCAUGCCAGUUUAUGGACUGCCAAGAUGCUGGUUUAUUUUAAUGUAAAUGUAGCCUCCCAUUCCCUAAAUGAAGAUCAACUUCAGCUUUCAGCCUUAAUGUCUUGAGAGAGAGACUUCUCUGUGAGAGUAAGUGUAGCGCCGUAAACUAUUUCCAGCUGGACUCCAUUUCCCACUUCAUCUGAAUGAGCCAAGUCCUCAUCCUGGAGCUUUUUAUGACAGUUUACACCAUGUUGCAUAAAUUGAGAAUCUCGUUGAAAUAAUCCCCUUCUAUCCUCACUGCUUCUACUCUUUAAAUAUCUGAUGAUGUUUGUCUUGUCUUCACUUAGUCCGUGAUUAGGAAAGCUGUACACACUUAGCAUCCUUAAUCUUUCUUCCUAAAUCAAUCCUUGAAACCAGCCCCUUAAUAUUGUUGUUACUCUGUUCUUCUCUGAACCUCUUCCAAAUUGCCUAUCUUUCUUGUAUUGAGCUGCCAGGCCUGAGUAAGCUGAAAGCACUGUUGUAAUGCAUACAGACUCGCUAAUGCACCCUUGCAGCAUGGUAAUACUUCGGCCCAGGUCUCCUAAGAUUGUCUUAUCUCCCUCCUCUCCCAUUUCUAUCUGUAGGUAUAAGCCAGAUUCUCUGCUCUCUGCUGACUCUAUUUUUUCGUGCAGGAUUAUUGCUUUUUAAUAAUCUCCCCAAUGUGUUAGAGAAUGGAAUGCAAAUGGGCAGGAGAAGAAAGCUCGGUACUGUAAAAGGAGGUGUGUGUUACUUCCUUCCCAGUCCUAAGAGUCAGUGCCCCUUAUCUCCUUCCCUGACAAUAACGGUAUUUUACAUGAAUCUCUCCCUUUAAGCUUCCCCACGAGCUUUCAUGUAAGAUCCUGACAGUCACUCCAUAAAACAGAGAGGCAACAUCUGAUGUCCCAUUUUAUAGGUGUUGCAACCUGAGGCUCAGAAAGACGGGAAGUCAACUGCUCAGGCCACUGUGUGUAACUUGAGCUUCUUCCCAUUUCAUAAAUCUGUUCUUAUGCUCCCUUCAUAAAUGAAACCUUAAAAUAAUUCCUGUAAUACCUGGGUAGACACAUUUCCAGUUUGGCAACCUUUUAUCAUCUCUUACUUGCCCUCUCGUUGCGGGAUUUCUGCACAGCUAUAAUAGACACGACUUAUUUAUAUGUUAUAAAUGCUAGGAUAAGUUACCAAGCAAGCUUUUAGGACAGUCUGUCAGCUUUAUUCUGGUAAGUUCUAAUGCAUGGCUGGUGAUAGUUUCAAGUCCGAAAAUAUCUAACUGCAAAACCCUGCUUUUUAUAUGAAGAACUGUUAGGGGUGGUGCCACAGUUUGAAAGUCCCCUCCAAAACUUUUGUUGAAACUGAAUCCCCCAUGUGGCAGUAUUGACAGGUGGGGCCUUGAAGAGGUGAUUGCAUCAUGAGGGUUCUGCCCUUGGGAAUGGAUUAAUCUAUUCAUAGGUUCAUGGAUGAAUGGGUUAACCUGGGAGUGGGUAUUGGUAGCUUUGUAAGAAGAGGAAGAGAGACCUGAGCCAGCACACUCAGCCCCCAAGUUGUGUGAUGCCCUGGGCCACCUCUGGAUUCUGCAGAGACCUCCCACCAGCAAGAAGGCCCUCAUCAGAUGUGGCCCCUUGACCUGGGACUUCUCAGCCUCCAUAACUGUAAGAAAUAAACUCCUUUUCUUUACAAGUGACUCAGUUUCAGAUAUUCUGUUAUAAGCGACAGAAAAUGGACCAAGACAGGUGGGAAGAAAGAGUGAAGAGCAGGGCAGCCCCAUCUGGCUGCACUGUUGAACACUGCAUAAGCCUGGGAGCAUCAUUCUCACAGACUCCGAUGUGAACGGCCACCCCUGCAGUUCUGUAGUGCACCUCUAUGUCAGAGACACCGGCAAGGGUGAGGGUGUACUGUGCAGCCUGCACAUCCACGUCAGGGACCCCGGCAGGGGCAAGAGUGCUCUGUACAGCCUGCAUCUCCAUGUCAGAGACCAUGGCAGGGGUGAGGGUGCUCUGUGCAGCCUGCACCUCCACAUCAGAGGCCCCAGCAGGGGCAAGGGUGUUCUGUGCAGCCUUCACCUCCAUGUCAGAGACCCUGGUGGGGGCGAGGGUGUUGCCAACUGCAGAAGCGGGGAGCUGUUGUGCCCAAUGGCUUCAUCACACCCCAUGCCUACAGGGAGGGGUUCAAGGUAGCCUUUGAGAUAAUUCCCAAACCAGCUUCCAUUCACACUUUAAGCCUUGCCUUCCUCCAUUUCCCACCCCAAACCUGUAGAAUUCCCAAAUCUCCUCCUUUGGCUCUGAACUUCCUUCUCUCCCCACCCAGUGCAGGCCCGUUCCUGAGACAUCUCCCCCACUCCGGAGCGAGCUGCUUCCUCCCCUGUGCCCUUACCUGUUUGCAAGCGCAUGAUUGCCUGACCACAUGGAUCAGUAGUGAAUUCCCAAUUGGGCUGUGAGUUCUGAGGGGACCGGGCUCUCGGUUCAGCUGCUUCUUUCCAGCCCUUUACACAGGUUGCGUGCAUGGCUGGCAAUCAGUUUGUUGAAUGAACGUUUGAAAAGACAACAUUCUCUAUUCUUCUUUCUUCUCUCUUAUCCGUGAUCCAGAUUCACAAAAUGCAUUCUUGGGGAAAUAAUGCAACGACCACAGGCUAUCACAAGAAAAGUUUGCUCAAAAAUGAUCCGUUCAAUUUAACAUGAAGUGUCUAAUAUAUGCCAAUUCUAUGUAAUUUUUUUUUAAAAACUUUUGUUCUUGCUUUCCAGGAAUUUGGAAAGGCAAGGUCAGCAUGCUCUACAGGAAAACUGGGUUGGCGAUAACCUUGUUGGUCAAUGGCACUGCCUGGAGACUUCCCAAGGGCUGCCAUUUUGUUAGGCUCAUUGAGAGAUACAGAAAAACAGGAGUAAAAGGUUUCACAAUUUUAAGCAUCCUAAGGAAGAAUGCUGCGCAAGGGGUUGGAUGAUGCCUCCCCAACCCCCCAAAAUUACUCCACUUGGAGCCCAUGAAUGGGACCUCAUUCGGACAAAAGGGUCUUUGCAGAUGUAAUUAAGGACCUCAAGAUGAAAUCCUCCUGGACUCAUCAGGUGGGCCCGAGACCCCCUGACACAGACAGAGACACAGGGAGAGUUCCAUGUGACAGUGGAGGCAGGGACUGGAGUGAUGUAUCUGUGCCCAAGGAACACCAAGGAUUGCCAGCAGCUCCCAGGAGGAGAUGGGAUGGAGCUGACGCUCUCUGGAGCCUUCAGAAGGAACCAAAUCUGAUACUGGAUUUCCGUCCUGCAGAACUGGGAGAAAAUGCAUUUCUGUUUGAAGUUACCAAGUUUGUGGUCAUUUGUGAGAGCAGCCCCAGGAGAUGAACACAGGGUGGCCCCAUGCCAGGACAGAGGGGCAAGAGGCUGGGGCUCUGUGCUCCUCCAGGGCUCACUCAGGCUCACUCUGAGCGUUCAGUGCAGUGUUUGGGGCACCCGGUGACCCUGGGUGUGAGGAGACGUGGUCUGUGCCUUCUGGCCCAUCGUCAUUUGCUCUGGGUGCUGAUAUCAACCAUAGGCAAUUUAAUUCUAGACUGGAAUGGAGCUGGGAAGGGCGCACCUUCCUGCCAAAAGCAAUUUCGUCCAAAGUCUGCACCUCGGUGGCUGAGCAUGGCGGGCCGGGAUGUUUUCACACUGCCACUCUAGAAACAGCGGAAAUGCAGACGCUUUCCUCCUUCACAAUUUUUGAUUGCUUUGACUUUUGGUGUGUCCGAGAGGCUGUAACUCAAAUAACCGUUCCCCACCUUUGGUUAGAUCCUAGAGUCUCUGGUACAUUGUCCGUCAACGGUGCUGCUUGGAGGCUUCCCAAAGGCCGCCAUUUUGGUAGGCUCAUUGAGAGAUACAGAAGAAAUAGGAGCAAACGGCUCCACAGUAGAGAUACAAGCAGCUUCUACCUUCAAAUUACUGUGGUUUUUAUUUGACCUGUUGGAAGUUCUGGGGUUUCUAUAAAGGAUAAAAACUCUCUUUGGGCAGGCACAGUUUAGAUCUGGAAAGUCCUGACUCCGGCCCCUUCAGUUUAUGGCCUGAGGAGCUUGAGGGCCUGAGGGCAGCCAGUGGCCGGAACACACGGGCUCUUUAGCUGAGGAGGGACUUGAACCCAGGUGUUCCGACGCGAGGACUCUCUCCCACCACAUACAGCACAGCACUGCUUGCGUUGUUUGGUUUUGUAUUGCUUUGGAAUUAGUCCAACUAUCAUCAUCGAUGUGAAUAAAUAGACAUGUAUCUUUUCAGUUUGCACAACUACAACCAUAAAUGAAUAUUUAUUAGUGUGAAGACACCCCCAGGUCCUGGAACACUCAACACAUGUAGAGCCAGGUGUAUUCAGGAGUCCAUGCAGCAGGAAGUGGAGCCAUCACAGGGUACGAAGGGAGGACAAGUGCAGUGUCGUGAGCACGUACAGAGGGAAGUUGACAGCGGGGAGAGGCUUUGCUGAGGAAGUGGCAUUUGGAAGAACGAGAAUGAGAUGGGGUUUUGCCGUGUUACCCAGGCUAGUCACGAACUCCUGUGCUCAAGCGAUCUGUCUGCCUCGGCCUCCCAAAGUGCUGGGAUUGCAGGCAUGAGCCACCGCGCCCAACCAGAAAGCCACUGCUUUAUAGACCACCACUUAAAUGCACCUGGCAGCUUAAUGUACGCGAGAACUUUCCUGCAGCUCCUUUAAAUUUAAGAAUCUUUUGGCAAAAUGAAGAAUACAAGCGUGUUUCUUCUUCAUAUGCUUUGUUUUAGGAACAUUAAAAAAUAUAGUUACUACAAUCAGAAAGCAGUUAUAUUUGUAUGUUUUGUAACAAAUACUGUGGCCUGAUAGAAUGAGCUUCUGACAAAGGCAUGUGCUUUCCAAGUGGGCCAAGUUCAAAAAUUGUCCGCAGAGUUGUCUCACUGGCUCAUCCAGCCAAUCAUUCAAAUAUUUAAAGGCCCUACUAAGGGCCAUGUUACUCAUUGUACAUCUUUAAGGAUGGGUGUAACUUACUUAUCUGUUUAUUUUCAAUUUCAGAAUACUUUAUAUUGACUCCUAAAAGUAUGGUGUAGUGUAUGUUUGUUUUGGGAGUUUCAAUACAAUCCCUAAAUUUAUGUAUCUCAAAUGUACAGGGACUGAUCAAAUUAGACAGUGCUAAUCUUCCUAAAACAGUGUCAAAAACAAGGGAAUCAAUCAUGAACACACUAAGCAUGAGCAUCGACUAUCACAAGACAUGGCUCAGUUUAUUUUUUCUUCCUUCUUACUACACUCGUAGAACAGAGCUCUUUUGUUUGCUUAUGACCUGGGCAAAUUUGCUGUAUGAUAAAAAAAAAUCAUGUAUGCAUUUGAUUCUCAUCCAGAUGCCCUUAGGAUAAGAGGUUCAUUUUCAUCUUCUGUUUUCCAAAUGAAGCUUUAAAUCUAAUUAGAUCUUGAAAGAAAAUAACUGCAAUAGGGUUUCUGUAAGUAAAGGGCCCUCAUUUAAAUAAUGCUCUUAUUUGUUUAUGUGAUUUACAGUAAGUGAUGAAACUCUUCGUGGCCAGCACGCCGCUCACUUCGGGGAUCCUUUGCACAGAGCACUUUGAGUUAGUUAUAAACCAUUCUACACACAGAAGCAUUUAAUUGUUAGAACAUUUCAUAGUGUAACAGCAUUUCUCAGUGCCUAGCAUGGGCCUUCUCCAUAUCGAAGGCCCAAUAAAUAUUUGUAGAAUAAAGGAAUUCACACCCAUCCAUUGCCCAGAUCAUAAUUGAGCAGCUCUUCUAUUAAAGUUUAGCCUUUUCAUGUUAAUUUAAAGUGGGGGAGUUUGAAGGGAGAAAUGCUAAUUUCAGACUCUAAAAAAGACAAGUCCCGUAUAGAACGAGGUCCCAGAGACUCUAAGACGUCUGUGUUGAUAGACGUAGGGCUGCAGGAAUUGAGAAGUGGUUGACGAGGGAGAGUCUGUUUCAGACCUGCUGUUUGCAGGUUGUUAUUUGUUCCACAGCUGUUUUUGAAGGAUGUUUCUACUCUUAAUGGAAUCAGGUACUUCACUAAG